GUUUGGCGUUGCAGCUGUGUGGGCGCUGGUGCGUGCGAGUAGCGCUCGAAGAAACCCAAAGGCGUCGUGGGGCUGCCGUGUGCCCCAGAGAGCACUGCAGGCCGGGUAGGGGCUAAGGCUCCCCGCAGUCUUCUGUGUGUCGUCCAGUACGCAGUUGAAAUCGUUCUCCAACCUGGCCAGUCCUCCGAGGCCCUUCUCAGGCGACCAGACUCUGUUAACAGAGUCCAUUGCUAAAACUCCUCGUUAGUAUUUACCACUCCUCCAGUCUGUGUUUUGAAGCAGUGGUUUUCAACCACUGCCCGUUUUCAGAAGAAAUCAUCUCAAGCGUCCGUGUGCUGCUAGAAGCCGGGCCGGGAGGUCUUGGUGCCGGACUCCACCCUGCAGCCCUUCCCUUUCGCCACCGCCCUGUGCUUAGAGAAACCUUAGAGUGGAGCAAUGAGUCGCCCUUGACUGAGUAACUCUUCGGGGUCAACUUCUCCUUCCACGCCAAGGAAAGGAUUCCAGGGCGAUGUUUCUGGAAAUAGAGAUCUGACCAAGCCACUGCUCUGGUGAAAAUUCAGUGGGUCCCUAGCACCUAGUGCAGCGGCUCCUAGCCUGAGUAUUGCCGUCUUUCGGUGGGGAGGGGUUGGGUUUUUUUGUAGCAUCUGUUGAUCUGAUCUCCAACAUCCUCCACGUCAAUUCCCACUCCACCCACAUCCCUUAUCCUAUACGUAAGCUUUCCAGCCACGGUGCUGGCUUGGGUGGGGGUGCGUGCGGUGCUGACACCAAAAUGGAGGUCCCGUGUUUCUGAGAGUCUCUUUCAGAGCAAUGCAAACCUGAAACUACUCCUGCCAAGAAACGAUUGCAGCUCUUCCCGGAAAAGUUAAAGCCUUUGAGAAACAAAGCUGAGUAAGAAGGAGAACUAAGAAAGAGACUGAAGCAUGGUCUGUGGAGAAGGCACUUGUGCAAACACCAGGAGAAUGAGGGGCCUGAGUUGUCUUCGUUUCUCCUAAAAGCAUGCAUUCCCGGCUGGGCGCGGUGACUCAUGCGUGUAAUCCCGCCACUUUAGAAGGCUGAGGCAGGCGGAUCACCUGAGAUCGGGAGUUCGAGACCAGCCCGACCAACAUGGAGAAACCCCAUCUCUAUUAAAAAUACAAAAUUACCCAGGCAUGGUGGCACAUGCCUGUAAUCCCAGCUACUUGGGAGGCGAAGGCAGGAGAAUUGCUUGAACCCAGAAGGCGGAAGCUGCAGAGAGCCGAGAUUUCGCCAUUGUACUCCAGCCUGGGCAACAAGAGUGAAACUCCAUCUCAAAAAACAAACAAACAAACACACAAACAAACAAACAAACACAUUCCCUCCCAGGCCACCCAAGUGAGGGCAUGAAGCACAGCGUGUGUGUGUGUGUGUGUGUGUGUGUGUGCACGCGUGUGUGCAUAUGUGUGUUUGUGUGUUGCAGGGGUUACAGUGGACAGGAUGUGGGAGGGCAGCUGCAGCUCCAAGCUGCAAGUCUUUCUGAUAGAAUGCUUAAAACUCCUUGGACCACAGCAAGAGAGUGUUUUCAUUUGCACCCAUUUUUAUUAGCGUUUGAACCUGUACUUUUUGUAGCAUGUAAACCUUAAGCUGCUUAACUAUUCCUUGAAGCAUUUACACCAGCGGUUCCCAACCUUUUUGCUACCUGAGACCAGUUUUCUUGAAGACAAUUCUUCCACGGACCCGGGAGAAGGGGAAGGGAUGAUGUGGAGAUGAUUCAAGCCCAUUACAUUUAUUGUGUGCUUCAUUUCUAUUAUUUCACUGUAAUAUAUAAUGAAAUAAUUACACAACUCACCAUAAUGUGGAAUCAGUGGGAGCCCUGAGCUAGUUUUCCUGCAACUGCAUGGUUCCAUCUGGGGGUGAUGGGAGACAGUCACAGAUCAUCAGGCAUUAGGUUCUCAUAAGGAGCACGCAAUCUAGAUCCCUGGCAUGCGCAGUUCACAGUAGGGUUCACGCUCCUAUGAGAUAAUGGCACCGCUCAUCUGAGAGGAGGCACAGCUCACGUGGUAAUGCAAGGGAUGGGAAGUGGCUGUUUCUACAGAUGAAGCUUUGCUCACUGGCUGGCUGCUCACCUCCUGCUGUGUAGCCUGGUUCCUAACAGCUGGGGAUCCCUCAUUUACCCAGCAAGAUAAAUACAUUAUUAUGUCAAUUGAAAUUCUUCACCUUGAACCACCCCAAAUUACCUUGCAUACCUACACCCACCCAAGGGUCCCGGAGCACACUUUGGGGGCUGCAGACAGUAAGCCUGGAGCUCCAUGGAGCAUUCCAUCUCUCCACCAUCUGUGGGCUAACAGGCUGUGUUAGUUUCCUAGGGCUGUUUUACAGUACCACAGACUGGGCACCUUCAACAACAGAACGUUACUGUCUCACAGUACUGGAGGCCAUGAGUCCAAGAUCAAGGUGUCAGCAAGGUGGGUCCCUUCUGAGGCUGUGCAGGAAGGCUCUGUUCCAGGCCUGUCUUCUCAUGCGCGGGUGGACGUCUUCUCCCUGUGACUCUCCAUUAAGGGUGAUUCUGGUGAGGGCUCAGAAGAGGAGACUUGGACAGAAUGUUGGUAGGUAAAUGUGUCAGUGGAAACCAGAGGGUAGACAGGACUCCAUCCAUGCCCAGGGCUUUCUGGGGACAGACCUGUCCAAGCAGCAGCGAUUCCCAACCGAGUUCUGUUUCUGGAAAGCCAGGCAACAGCUGGGGCUGGGCCCUCUGGGAUUUGUUUAGUGACCCGAUGAUGUGGGAGGCCUGCAGUGGGUGGUUGGGUGGGGGGUGGUACUGCCCAACCUCAUUGCAUCACUCACUUCCCAGGCCCUGCCCUCAACCCCUCCUGACCAGGCCCUGUCCUGGUUCUCAGCCACCCUGUCCCAGUGGGUGCUUCAGCCCACUCACUGACCAAGUGAGGGACUGACUCCAGGUUACAGAGUGCUGUGUUUAUGUGACCUGAGAAUAUGUGUGCGCAGAGUGUGCCCGCAGUGUCCUUGUACAGUUGAGCAUAUACAUGUCCUGCCCGUGUGUAGGCAGCCUGUCCACACAUGCCUAGGAGUGUGA
This 3046-nucleotide long non-coding RNA is filed under the name Homo sapiens (human). RNAcentral's name for it is "non-protein coding lnc-USP32-2:9". Lineage: Eukaryota; Metazoa; Chordata; Mammalia; Primates; Hominidae. The record is from RNAcentral.